UUUUAGUGGCCUUCAGAGUUCAAAGACUGACCAUACCUCCUUCUGAAAGCGCCAUGCAGGACUCUGAGACUCUGCUCAAACUUCUCUGCUGUGUAGGUAUCAUGCAGCAAAUGACCUUAGUAAUGAGUGACCUGACUGGAGAUGACCCUGACUGUCCUGAUCACAAAUCCCACUGUAUCCAGAAGUCACAGGAAGAAGACAAGUCUGUUGCGACAACGGAUGUAGAAGAUAAAAAUAAAACAGUGAAGAUUGACACAGAAAGAAGCAUUCAUCAGUGCCCACAUAUGAUGUCAUUUCCUUUAUCACCUGUAGAUUUAAGCAGGCCACAUUCACAGACACCAGCAAAUGGAUCUUUGGAAAGACUAUCUAAA
Puntigrus tetrazona (Sumatra barb) is the source of this 371-nucleotide long non-coding RNA. RefSeq lists it as uncharacterized. Lineage: Eukaryota; Metazoa; Chordata; Actinopteri; Cypriniformes; Cyprinidae. The transcript is spliced from 3 exons. The record is from RefSeq and is a predicted model, not a curated record.